RNAcentral lists this non-coding RNA (972 nucleotides) under Chodsigoa smithii (Smith's shrew). RNAcentral describes it as "12S ribosomal RNA". It matches the Rfam family "Bacterial small subunit ribosomal RNA". Lineage: Eukaryota; Metazoa; Chordata; Mammalia; Eulipotyphla; Soricidae. The record is from RNAcentral.
UAAAGGUUUGGUCCUGGCCUUCCUAUUAGUUGUUAGUAAAAUUACACAUGCAAGUAUCCGCACACCUGUGAGAAUGCCCUCUAAAUCACAAUGUGAUCAAAAGGAGUAGGUAUCAAGCACGCUCUUUAUAGAGUAGCUAAUAACACCUUGCUUUGCCACACCCCCACGGGAAACAGCAGUGAUAAAAAUUAAGCAAUGAACGAAAGUUUGACUAAGUUAUGCUAACACAAGGGUUGGUAAAUUUCGUGCCAGCCACCGCGGUCAUACGAUUAACCCAAACUAAUAAGCAACGGCGUAAAGCGUGUUAAAGACAAUAUUUACCAAUAAAGAUAAAACUUAACUAGGCUGUAGAAAGCAAUAGUUAAAGUUAAAAUACUCUACGAAAGUGACUUUAUUAAAUCUGACACACGAUAGCUGAGACCCAAACUGGGAUUAGAUACCCCACUAUGCUCAGCCCUAAACCUAGAUAACUUAUAAACAAAGUUAUUCGCCAGAGAACUACUAGCAAUAGCUUAAAACUCAAAGGACUUGGCGGUGCUUUAUAUCCUUCUAGAGGAGCCUGUUCUAUAAUCGAUAAACCCCGAUAAACCUCACCACCCCUUGCUAAUUCAGCCUAUAUACCGCCAUCUUCAGCAAACCCUAAAAAGGAGAAACAGUAAGCACAAGUAUUAAGCAUAAAAACGUUAGGUCAAGGUGUAGCUUAUGGGGCGGGAAGAAAUGGGCUACAUUUUCUAUAACUAGAACAUCAUUUAUUAAAACGAAAGUUCUUAUGAAACUAAGAACUAAAGGAGGAUUUAGCAGUAAGUUAAGAAUAGAGUGCUUAACUGAAUUAGGCCAUGAAGCACGCACACACCGCCCGUCACCCUCCUCAAGUACCUAAAAACAAGAUAGAUUCCUAAUCAUUAUAUACUCAGUAUUAGAGGAGAUAAGUCGUAACAAGGUAAGCAUACUGGAAAGUGUGCUUGGAUGAAU